GUGCUCACUUCAGCAGCACCUACGUAUAUUAAAAUUGGAACAACACAGAGAAGAUUGGCAUGGCCCCUGCACAAGGAUGACUCACAAAUUUGUGAAGCGUUCCAUAUUUUG
Myotis lucifugus (little brown bat) is the source of this 111-nucleotide small nuclear RNA. Lineage: Eukaryota; Metazoa; Chordata; Mammalia; Chiroptera; Vespertilionidae. The record is from Ensembl.